UACGUAGGGUGCAAGCGUUGUCCGGAAUUAUUGGGCGUAAAGAGCUCGUAGGUGGCCUGUCGCGUCGGCUGUGAAAACUCGGGGCUCAACCCCGGGUCUGCAUUCGAUACGGGCAGGCUAGAGUGUGGUAGGGGAGAUCGGAAUUCCUGGUGUAGCGGUGAAAUGCGCAGAUAUCAGGAGGAACACCGGUGGCGAAGGCGGAUCUCUGGGCCAUUACUGACGCUGAGGAGCGAAAGCGUGGGGAGCGAACAGG
RNAcentral lists this ribosomal RNA (253 nucleotides) under uncultured bacterium. RNAcentral's name for it is "partial 16S ribosomal RNA". It matches the Rfam family "Bacterial small subunit ribosomal RNA", at positions 524 to 776 of the family's 1533-position model. The record is from RNAcentral.